RNAcentral lists this ribosomal RNA (778 nucleotides) under actinobacterium SCGC AAA043-M07. Its description in RNAcentral is "bacterial SSU rRNA". It matches the Rfam family "Bacterial small subunit ribosomal RNA", at positions 70 to 859 of the family's 1533-position model. The record is from RNAcentral. Lineage: Bacteria; Bacillati; Actinomycetota; Actinomycetes.
CAUGGUGUAGCAAUACACCGGAAGAUUUAGUGGCGAACGGGUGAGGAUCACGUGAGAAACCUGCCCCAGACUUUGGGAUAACAAUUGGAAACGAUUGCUAAUACCGAAUGACGUCGGAGAACCGCAUGGUUCACUGACGAAAGGAAAUCCGGUUUGGGAGGGUCUCGCGGCCUAUCAGCUUGUUGGUGGGGUAAUGGCCUACCAAGGCAACGACGGGUAGCUGGUCUGAGAGGAUGAUCAGCCACACUGGGACUGAGACACGGCCCAGACUCCUACGGGAGGCAGCAGUGGGGAAUCUUGCGCAAUGGGCGAAAGCCUGACGCAGCAACGCCGCGUGCGGGAUGAAGGCCUUCGGGCUGUAAACCGCUUUCAGCAGGAACGAAAAUGACGGUACCUGCAGAAGAAGGAGCGGCCAACUACGUGCCAGCAGCCGCGGUGACACGUAGGCUCCAAGCGUUGUCCGGAUUUAUUGGGCGUAAAGAGCUCGUAGGCGGUUUAGUAAGUCGGGUGUUAAAACUCUGGGCUCAACCCGGAGAGGCCAUCCGAUACUGCUGUGACUUGAGUUCAGGAGGGGAGCGGGGAAUUCCUAGUGUAGCGGUGAAAUGCGCAGAUAUUAGGAGGAACACCGGUGGCGAAGGCGCCGCUCUGGACUGAAACUGACGCUGAGGAGCGAAAGCAUGGGUAGCAAACAGGAUUAGAUACCCUGGUAGUCCAUGCCGUAAACGGUGGGCACUAGGUGUGGGUUCCAACUAACGGGAUCCGCGCCGUCGCUAACGCA